GAUGAACGCUGGCGGCGUGCCUAAUACAUGCAAGUCGAGCGAACAGACGAGGAGCUUGCUCCUCUGACGUUAGCGGCGGACGGGUGAGUAACACGUGGAUAACCUACCUAUAAGACUGGGAUAACUUCGGGAAACCGGAGCUAAUACCGGAUAAUAUAUUGAACCGCAUGGUUCAAUAGUGAAAGACGGUUUUGCUGUCACUUAUAGAUGGAUCCGCGCCGCAUUAACUAGUUGGUAAGGUAACGGCUUACCAAGGCAACGAUGCGUAGCCGACCUGAGAGGGUGAUCAGCCACACUGGAACUGAGACACGGUCCAGACUCCUACGGGAGGCAGCAGUAGGGAAUCUUCCGCAAUGGGCGAAAGCCUGACGGAGCAACGCCGCGUGAGUGAUGAAGGUCUUCGGAUCGUAAAACUCUGUUAUUAGGGAAGAACAAAUGUGUAAGUAACUAUGCACGUCUUGACGGUACCUAAUCAGAAAGCCACGGCUAACUACGUG
Molecule: ribosomal RNA, 497 nt
Filed under: uncultured bacterium
Lineage: Bacteria
Description: partial 16S ribosomal RNA
Rfam family: Bacterial small subunit ribosomal RNA
Source: RNAcentral